This 325-nucleotide long non-coding RNA is filed under the name Hordeum vulgare. RNAcentral's name for it is "long non-coding RNA (HVUL_LNC017213)". The record is from RNAcentral. Lineage: Eukaryota; Viridiplantae; Streptophyta; Magnoliopsida; Poales; Poaceae.
GAGUAGAUUCCGGUUGGCGUCCUCGCUGAGUGGCACAUUGUCCUUCAUGGAUCGUUCCACGGCCGCCGCUUCAGCUUCGGCGUCACCACAAAAAUCUGCAGUAAAACGAGCAAAUAGAAAUUACAAACCGAGUGUUCGUCACAAGAUACAAUCACUCGACAAAUCAUCAGACUUACCAGCCAGACGACUCAUCAUCUGGACAGCCCAGUCGUUCACAUACUUCUCCUGAGCUGUCCAUCGUUUGUUCCGAGCAGCCAUUUGAUCGUACACUUCGGUCCUCUGUUUCUUCAGCCUCUCCACCUCCGCCACCAACGCCCUGUUUGCC